AACGAACGCUGGCGGCAUGCCUAACACAUGCAAGUCGAACGAGACCUUCGGGUCUAGUGGCGCACGGGUGCGUAACGCGUGGGAACCUGCCCUUAGGUUCGGAAUAACUCCCCGAAAGGGGUGCUAAUACCGGAUAAUGUCUUCGGACCAAAGAUUUAUCGCCUUUGGAUGGGCCCGCGUUGGAUUAGCUAGUUGGUAGGGUAAAAGCCUACCAAGGCGACGAUCCAUAGCUGGUCUGAGAGGAUGAUCAGGCACACUGGGACUGAGACACGGCCCAGACGCCUACGGGAAGCAGCAGUGGGGAAUAGUGGAGCAUGGGCGUAAGCCUGAUCCAGCGAUGGCGCGUGGGUGAUGAUGGCGUUAGGGUUGUAAAGCUCUUUUACCCGAGAUGAUAAUGACGGUACCGGGAGAAUAAGCACCGGCUAACUACGUG
This 433-nucleotide ribosomal RNA is filed under the name uncultured bacterium. Its description in RNAcentral is "partial 16S ribosomal RNA". It matches the Rfam family "Bacterial small subunit ribosomal RNA", at positions 29 to 507 of the family's 1533-position model. The record is from RNAcentral.